This is an RNA transcript of Nannospalax galili (Upper Galilee mountains blind mole rat), 1879 nucleotides long. It is a transcript of the gene named ATP synthase subunit beta, mitochondrial-like, with no coding region annotated. NCBI's taxonomy places the organism in Eukaryota, Metazoa, Chordata, Mammalia, Rodentia, Spalacidae. The transcript is spliced from 4 exons. The record is from RefSeq and is a predicted model, not a curated record.
AUGGCAUUUGCCUGCUUCACUGCCAUCGCCCUCUCCUAUGUCCAGAUAGUCUCCACAGUGCUCAGGAUGCCCUCUGCUGAAGGUUUGGCCUGGAAUGAAGUGGCCAUUCUCACAGUGAUAUCCUAUGAAGGCUAUGUGGUCAUCUGCCUCCCACUGCACUAUGAAGUUCUUCUGUGGUGUCCCCAGUUGCUCAAGCUCUCCUGCUCCAGUGAUUACCUUGGAGUGAUUGGGCUGGUUGCCCUCAUUGCUGCUGUGGCAUUUUUCUGCUUCAUCACCAUCACCCUCUGCUAUGUCCAGAUAUUCUCUGCAGUUCUCAGGAUGCCCUCUGCGGAAGUGGUCCAUGCCUCAGCCUCUGGGGCCCUGCAGGGGCUCCAUGCUUUGGCAUCACUUCCGCAAGUGCAGAUUCUUUUGGGAGCACCCACUAGGUCGAUUUGGCCAGAGACUAUGGGCACAUACUUCUCUGUCUCUGAAGGCAGGCGCUGCCACCAGGAGCAUUAUGGUGGUCAUUGGCUCAGUUUUGGAUGUCUAGUUUGAUGAAGGAUUACCACCCAUCCUACAUGCCCUGGAGGUACAAGGCAGGGAGACCAGACUGGUUUUGGAGGUGGCCCAGCAUUCAGGUGAGAGUACUGUAAGAAUCCUUGCUAUGAACGGUACUGAAGGUUUGGUUAGAAGCCAGAAAGUACUGGAUUCAGGUGCACCACUCAAAAUUCCUGUUGUUCCUGAGACCUUGUGCAGAAUUAUGAUGAUCAUUGGCAAACCCACUGAUGAGAAAGGACCUAUCAAAACCAAACAAUUUAUACAUAUUCAUGCUGAGGCUCCUGAGCUCAUAGAAAUUGAGUGUUGAACAGGAAAUUCUGGUGACUGGUAUCAAGGUUGUGGAUAUUCUAUCUCUGUAUGCCAAUGGUGGCAAAAUUGGACUGUGGUGAUGCUGGAGUUGGCAAGACUGUACUUAUCAUGAAGUUAAUCAACAAUGUUGCCAAAGCCCAUGGUGGCUACUCAGUAUUUUCUGGUGUUGGUGAAAGGACCAGUGAGGGUAAUGACUUAUACCAUAAAAUGACUGAGUCUGGUGUCAUCAACUUAAAGGAUGCUUCCUCCAAGGUAGCAUUGGUGUAAGGUCAGGUGAACGAAGUACCUGGUACUCGGGCUUGGGUAGUUAUGAAUGGACUGACUGUUGUUGAAAACUUCAGAGAUCAAGAUGGUCAAGAUGUACUGCUAUUCAUUGACAACAUCUUUUACUUCAACCAGGCUGGCUUAGAGGUAUCUGCCUUAUUGGGAAGAAUCCCUUCUGCUGUAGGCUAUCAGCCUACUGACAUGGGUACAAUACAAGAAAGAAUCACCACCACCAAAAAGGGAUCCAUCACCUCUGUGCAGGCUGUCUAUGUGCCUGCUGAUGACUUGACUGAUCCUGCCCCUGCAAGUACCUUUGCCCAUUUGGAUGCCACUAUUGUACUGCCCCAUGCUGUUGAUGAGCUGGGCAUUUAUCCAGCUGUGGAUCCUCUGUACUUCACUUCUAGAAUCAUGGAUCCAAAGGUAAUUGGCGAUGAACAUUCUGAUGUUGUUCGAGGGGUGCAAAAAUUCCUGCAGGACUACAAAUACCUCCAGGACAUCAUUGCCAUCCUGGGUAUGGAUGAACUUUCUGAGGAAGAUAAGUUGACUGUAACCCUGGGAAGGAAAAUCCAGUGCUUCCUAUCUCAGCCAUUCCAGGUUGCUGAGAUCUUCACAGGGCAAGGGAAAGCUGGUGCUCUUGAAGGAGACCAUUGCAGAAUUCCAUCAGAUUUUGGCAGGUGACUACCUUGCUGGUAUGAGGACCUCAGAUCAGAUUCUUAGGGUCAUGUGGAAAGCCCAGAGCUGCAGAGUGAGCCUGAAACUGUGGCCUUAA